CCCUUAGACGUUCUGGGCCGCACGCGCGCUACACUGACCAGUGCAACAAGCAUCCGUCCUUGGCCGACAGGCUCGGGCAAUCUUUGAACGCUGGUCGUGAUGGGGAUAGACUUUUGCAAUUUUUGGUCUUCAACGAGGAAUUCCUAGUAAACGCAAGUCAUCAACUUGCAUUGAUUACGUCCCUGCCCUUUGUACACACCGCCCGUCGCUCCUACCGAUUGAAUGGUCCGGUGAAAAUUUCGGAUACCGGCAUUGCUGGCGGUUCGCCGCCGGCGACGCUGGUAGAAGAUCUUUAAACCUUAUCAUUUAGAGGAAGGAGAANUCGUANCA
This 330-nucleotide ribosomal RNA is filed under the name uncultured eukaryote. RNAcentral describes it as "partial 18S ribosomal RNA". It matches the Rfam family "Eukaryotic small subunit ribosomal RNA", at positions 1470 to 1796 of the family's 1831-position model. The record is from RNAcentral.